AAUCCAUGGUCAGGGCAUCUUCGCAAAAGGUCCUUGUAUCUCUCCUAUGCAUCGUAGAGUGUUUAUAAAUCCAUCUGUAAAAAAGAGGAGAUAUCAUUACGUAAUU
This is a non-coding RNA of Gossypium hirsutum (cotton), 106 nucleotides long. NCBI's taxonomy places the organism in Eukaryota, Viridiplantae, Streptophyta, Magnoliopsida, Malvales, Malvaceae. The record is from Rfam.